AGAUAUGCCUAGGUGGGAUUAGCUAGUUGGUGAGGUAAUGGCUCACCAAGGCGACGAUCCCUAGCUGGUCUGAGAGGAUGAUCAGCCACACUGGAACUGAGACACGGUCCAGACUCCUACGGGAGGCAGCAGUGGGGAAUAUUGCACAAUGGGCGAAAGCCUGAUGCAGCCAUGCCGCGUGUAUGAAGAAGGCCUUCGGGUUGUAAAGUACUUUCAGUUGUGAGGAAGGGUGUGUAGUUAAUAGCUGCGCAUCUUGACGUUAGCAACAGAAGAAGCACCGGCUAACUCCGUGCCAGCAGCCGCGGUAAUACGGAGGGUGCGAGCGUUAAUCGGAAUUACUGGGCGUAAAGCGCAUGCAGGUGGUUCAUUAAGUCAGAUGUGAAAGCCCGGGGCUCAACCUCGGAACUGCAUUUGAAACUGGUGAACUAGAGUGCUGUAGAGGGGGGUAGAAUUUCAGGUGUAGCGGUGAAAUGCGUAGAGAUCUGAAGGAAUACCAGUG
This 499-nucleotide ribosomal RNA is filed under the name Vibrio splendidus. RNAcentral describes it as "bacterial SSU rRNA". It matches the Rfam family "Bacterial small subunit ribosomal RNA", at positions 223 to 714 of the family's 1533-position model. Lineage: Bacteria; Pseudomonadati; Pseudomonadota; Gammaproteobacteria; Vibrionales; Vibrionaceae. The record is from RNAcentral.